GGCGGCGUGCUUAACACAUGCAAGUCGAGCGGAAAGGCCCUUCGGGGUACUCGAGCGGCGAACGGGUGAGUAACACGUGAGUAACCUGCCCCUGACUCUGGGAUAAGCCUGGGAAACUGGGUCUAAUACCGGAUACGACAUCUUCCGGCAUCGGAUGGAUGUGGAAAGUUUUUUCGGUCAGGGAUGGGCUCGCGGCCUAUCAGCUUGUUGGUGGGGUAGUGGCCUACCAAGGCGACGACGGGUAGCCGGCCUGAGAGGGCGACCGGCCACACUGGGACUGAGACACGGCCCAGACUCCUACGGGAGGCAGCAGUGGGGAAUAUUGCGCAAUGGGCGGAAGCCUGACGCAGCGACGCCGCGUGGGGGAUGACGGCCUUCGGGUUGUAAACCUCUUUCAGCAGGGACGAAGUUGACGUGUACCUGUAGAAGAAGCGCCGGCUAACUACGUGCCAGCAGCCGCGGUAAUACGUAGGGCGCAAGCGUUGUCCGGAAUUAUUGGGCGUAAAGAGCUCGUAGGUGGCUUGUCGCGUCUGCCGUGAAAGCCCAUGGCUUAACUAUGGGUCUGCGGUGGAUACGGGCAGGCUAGAGGCUGGUAGGGGCAAGCGGAAUUCCUGGUGUAGCGGUGAAAUGCGCAGAUAUCAGGAGGAACACCGGUGGCGAAGGCGGCUUGCUGGGCCAGUUCUGACGCUGAGGAGCGAAAGCGUGGGGAGCGAACAGGAUUAGAUACCCUGGUAGUCCACGCUGUAAACGUUGGGCGCUAGGUGUGGGGGACUUCCACGUUCUCCGUGCCGUAGCUAACGCAUUAAGCGCCCCGCCUGGGGAGUACGGCCGC
RNAcentral lists this ribosomal RNA (832 nucleotides) under Herbidospora sp. IM-7096. RNAcentral's name for it is "bacterial SSU rRNA". It matches the Rfam family "Bacterial small subunit ribosomal RNA", at positions 38 to 889 of the family's 1533-position model. The record is from RNAcentral. Lineage: Bacteria; Bacillati; Actinomycetota; Actinomycetes; Streptosporangiales; Streptosporangiaceae.